UCUCCAUUCAUCCACAUGGCUACUGGCUGUGCUUUGCUACCACCGGACAUAUCUUGAAGAUUGCCCAUUAUUUCGUUUUUGUAAGGACCCAAAAAACAGAGGCAGUGUUAGCUAUUCACAGAGAUGUUUGUUUCUGUCAGCGCGAUGCGUGAAGAAACCAGGUGGCUGUACCGACUCUGAUAACGUAUCCCGAGUGAACCAUGUUUCCGUGAAGCAGAGAAUGUUGCAAUCUCUGAUGUCUCUCUGGAAGGCAACCCUUGCUCGGAUUUUGUCUACCUUGUUGUCAAGAGACUGGACAUUGGCAAGUAGUAUACUCGGGAGUGGUGGGCGAUGUGCCCGUCUACGGAGCCUGACCAGAAGACCGCUCCAUCUGCCCCUUCUGCGGAGCCGUUGUUUUGGGUCGCCUGCUGGGAUCCGAUCCAUUGUCCUGGGUGGUGGACCAAACAGAGGAUCCGCUUCAGGAAAGUCGUAUUCCUGGUCAUAAUGUUGGUAAGUUGACGUUGCUCUUAUAUCCAAUAGUUCCUCCCGGCUGUAUGUAAUAAGACUUAAGAUUUCCUGGGGUAACAGUGUAAGAAAUAAUACAUAAAAAAACAAAAUACUGCAUAGUUUCCUAAGAACACGAAGCGAGGCGGCCAUCUCUGUCAGCGCCGAAUGUUGAUUCAUCCUUGAUGUUUCUACAACUUGAUUGGAGUCCACCUGUGGUAAAUUCAAUUGAUUGGACAUGAUUUGGAAAAGCACACACCUGUCUAUAUAAGGUCUGACAGUUGACAGUGCAUGUCAGAGCAAAAACCAAGCCAUGAGGUCGAAAGAAUUGUCCGUAGAGCUCUGAGACAGGAUUGUGUUGAGGAACAGAUUUGGGGAAGGGUUCCAAAAAAUGAAGGACAUUGAAGAACCCCAAGAACACCGUGGACUCAAUCAUUCUUAAAUGGAAGAAGUUUGGAACCACCAAGACUCUUCCUAGAGCUGGCCACCUGGCCAUACUGAGCAAUCGGGAAAGAAGGGACUUGGUCAGGGAGGUGACCAAGAACCCGAUGGUCACUCUGACAGAGCUCCAGAGUUCCUCUGCAGCACUCCACCAAUCAUUUCUGCAGCACUCCACCAAUCAGGCCUUUAUGGUAGAGUGGCCAGACAGAAGCCAUUCUUCAGUAAAAGGCACAUGACAGCCCGCUUGGAGUUUGCCAAAAGCCACCUUGUAUUUUUGUAUUUUAUUUAUCUAACCAGAAAAAUAUUGUAAACUGUCAUGGUCAAAACAUAUUAAUUGAGUGGUUGUAAAGAUGGAGAGAGAUCUGUCCAUGAUAAAGAUAAUGCUCUGCUUUUUUUGACACCACACUCCACAAAGAAAGCUCUAGUUUUAUCUUAUCUUGAUUAUUGCCCAGUCAGGUGCUGCAAAGGACACAGAAAAACUGCAGCUGGCCCAGAACAGAGCGGCACGUCUUGCCCUUCACUGUAAUCAGAGGGCUAAUAUCAAUACUAUACACACCAGUCUCUCUUGGCUAAAAGUGACUGCAUCACUUUUUUUCAUAAGAAACAAUGUGUUGAAAAUUCAAAAGUCUUUGCAUUGUCCACUCACACAUAGCUCUGACACACACACUUAGCCUACCCAACAUGCCACUAGGGGUCCUUUCAGUCCUAAAUCCAGAACAAAUUAAAGAAACAUACAGUAUUAUAUACAGCCAUGAUUGCAUGGAUCUCUCUUUCAUCUCAAAUUGCUCAAGUGAACAGCAAACCUGUUUAAAAAAAAAAGAUUAAUGAACAUCUCAUGGCACAGCGCCUCUCCCCUAUUUGACGUAGAUAUUUUGUGUGUAUGUACUCAUAUGUAGUCUGUGUGACGUUUUAAAUGUAUGUAGUUCUGUCCAUGAGCUGUUGUUCUCUAUUAAUGUUCUGUAUUGUGUCAUGUUUUGUGUGGACCCCAGGAAAAGAACCUGAUGCUUUUGCAAAAGCUAAUGGGGAUCCUAAUAAAAUACCAAUACCAAUAAAACUCAAGCCACACUGCUACGAUUUCUCCCCAUUGUGGACAAUCCUGUGUCUGAUAAGGAUACUCAAGAAGGAGAAGCUCUUGUAAGAUACACUAUAUAUACAAAGGUAUGUGGACACCCCUUCAAAUUAGUGGAUUCGGCUUUUUCAGCCACACCCGUUGCUGACAGGUGUAUAACUUCGAGCACACAUCCAUGCAAUCUCCAUUGUGGAAGGACCACCAGUGGGCAGGCUGGUCCCACAGAUAGUAGCCCAGUCCGGCAUGUGAGUCAAGGUGAUCAGAGGCAAUUAAGCACAGCUGACGGUAUGAAUGACCUAUUCUCUUCCCCCUACAAGAGAGAGGAGGGAACCGGCAGUGGAGGAGAAAAAAAGUGAUUGCUUCUCCAAAGGAGAGGAUUUACCGGACAGGAGGGAGAAGAAGAGGACAAACUACCUCUUGGGAUUGGCAACCAUGGAUCCGCACCACCACCCGAAGGAGGAAAGUGAGGAAAACGAAAAUCUACCUGUCGACACAGUGGAACCAUUCAAGAAAGUUGAAUAAUGCUCUACUACAACAGUUGAUCACGGCACAGCAGACAACCAUAGAACUCAUGCAACAACAGCUGAGCCGGCAAGAAUAACCGAGAGUGAAGCCGAGAGUGGCUGCUCACGACAUCUUACCUCGCCUCUCAAAUGAGGAUGAUAUUGAGGCUUUCAUCAUGAUGUUCGAAAGGACGGCCACCUUGGAAGAGUGGCCCCCCACAGAAUGGGCGAGCGCAUUAGCCCCUCUUUUGACUGGGACAGCCCAGGAAGCCUACUAUGACCUGGACCCCCGCGAAGCUGCUGACUAUGAGCGACUAACAACCGAGAUUCUGUCCCGGUACCAGCUGACCGCCCGAGAUAGAGCUGUAAAGUUCCAUCAAUGGACCUAUAUGGCCGACCAACCCGUGCGUGCCCAGAUCUUCGCACUCAUAUGACUAACGAAACAGUAGCUGGAACCCGGAAAGGGAGUAGGACAUGUCGUAGAGACUCUCGUAGUGGACAAGAUUUUGAGGGAAUUACCCAUGGACUUAAAAGGGUCGUGGGGCGAACAAACCUGUUGUCAGCCGACAACAUAGCCCAGGCCAUGGAAACUAAAGGUCGACCGAUUAUGAUUUUUCAAUACCGAUACCGAUUAUUGGAGGACCAAAAUAAGCCGAUACCGAUUUAAUCGGCCGGUUUUUAUUUUAUUUAUUUGUAAUAAUGACAAUUACAACAAUACUGAAUGAACACCUAUUUUAACUUAAUAUAAUACAUCAAUAAAAUCAAUUUAGCCUCAAAUAAAUAAUGAAACAUGUUCAAUUUGGUUUAAAUAAUGCAAAAACAAAGUUUUGGAGAAGAAAGUAAAAGUGCAUUAUGUGCCAUGUAAGAAAGCUAAUGUUUAAGUUCCUUGCUCAGAACAUGAGAACAUAUGAAAGCUGGUGGUUCCUUUUAACACGAGUCUUCAAUAUUCCCAGGUAAGAAGUUUUAGGUUGUAGUUAUUAUAGGAAUUAUAAGACUAUUUCUCUCUAUAUGAUUUGUAUUUCAUAUACCUUUGACUAUUGGAUGUUCUUAUAGGCACUUUAGUAUUGCCAGUGUAACAGUAUAGCUUCCGUCCCUCUCCUCGCUCCUACCUGGGCUCAAACCAGGAACACAUCGACAAAAGCCACCCUUGAAGCAGCGUUACCCAUGCAGAGUAAGGGAAACAACUACUCCAAGUCUCAGAGCGAGUGACGUUUGAAACGCUACUAGCGCGCACCCCGGUAACUAGCUAGCUAUUUCACAUCGGUUACACCAACCUCAUCUUGGUAGUUGACAGGCUUGAAGUCAUAAACAGCGCAAUGCAUUGCGAAGAGCUGCUGGCAAAACGCAGUAAAGUGCUGUUUUGAAUUAAUGCUUACGAUCCUGCUGCUGCCUACCAUCGCUCAGUCAGACUGCUCUAUGAAAUCAUAGACUUAAUUAUAACAUAAUAACACACAGAACCACGAGCCUUAGGUCAUUAAUACGGUCAAAUCCGGAAACUAUCACGUUCAUUCUUUCAGUGAAAUACGGAACCGUUCCGUAUUUUAUCUAACGGGUGGCAUCCAUAAGUCUAAAUAUUCCUGUUACAUUGAACAACCUUCAAUGUUAUGUCAUAAUUACGUAAAAUUCUGGAAAAUUAGUUCGCAACGAGCCAGGCAGCCCAAACUGCUGCAUAUACCCUGACUCUGUUGCAGAGGUGACACAUUUUCCCUAGUUAAAAGAAAUUCAUGUUAGCAGGCAAUAUUAACUAAAUAUGCAGGUUUAAAAAUAUAUACUUGUGUAUUGAUUUUAAGAAAGACAUUGAUGUUUAUGGUUAGGUACAAGUUGGAGCAACCUUUUUCGCGAAUGCGCACCGCAUCGAUUAUAUGUAACGCAGGACAGGCUAGAUAAACUAGUAAUAUCAUCAACCAUGUGUAGUUAACUAGUGAUUAUGAUUGAUUGAUUGUUUUUUAUAAGAUAAGUUAAAUGCUAGCUAGCAACUUACCUUGGCUUCUUACUGCAUUCGCGUAACAGGCAGGCUCCUCGUGGAGUGCAAUGUAAAGCAGGUGGUUAGAGUGUUAGACUAGUUAACCGUAAGGUUGCAAGAUUGAAUCUCCAAGCUGACAAGGUAAAAAUCUGUCGUUCUGCCCCUGAACAAGGCAGUUAACCCACUGUUCCUAGGCCG
This 4657-nucleotide long non-coding RNA is filed under the name Salmo salar (Atlantic salmon). Its description in RNAcentral is "lncRNA (ENSSSAG00000112231.1)". Lineage: Eukaryota; Metazoa; Chordata; Actinopteri; Salmoniformes; Salmonidae. The record is from RNAcentral.